GACGAACGCUGGCGGCGUGCUUAACACAUGCAAGUCGAACGGAAAGGCCCUGCUUUUGUGGGGUGCUCGGGUGGCGAACGGGUGAGUAACACGUGAGUAACCGGCCCUUGACUUUGGGAUAGCUUCAGGAAACUGGGGCUAAUACCGGAUAGGAGCUCCUGCUGCAUGGUGGGGAGUGGAAAGUUUCGGCGGUUGGGGAUGGACUCGCGGCUUAUCAGCUUGUUGGUGGGGUAGUGGCUUGCCAAGGCUUUGGCGGGUAGGCGGCCGGAGAGGGUGACCGGCCACAUUGGGACUGAGGUACGGCCCAGUCUCCUACGUGAGGCAGCAGUGGGGAAUAUUGCACAAUGGGCGGAAGCCUGAUGCAGCAACGCCGCGUGCGGGAUGCCGGCCUUCGGGUUGUAAACCGCUUUCGCCUGUGACGAAGCGUGAGUGACGGUAAUGGGUAAAGAAGCACCGGCUAACUACGUG
RNAcentral lists this ribosomal RNA (468 nucleotides) under uncultured bacterium. Its description in RNAcentral is "partial 16S ribosomal RNA". It matches the Rfam family "Bacterial small subunit ribosomal RNA", at positions 28 to 507 of the family's 1533-position model. The record is from RNAcentral.